Varroa destructor (honeybee mite) is the source of this 4574-nucleotide non-coding RNA. The record is from RefSeq and is a predicted model, not a curated record. Lineage: Eukaryota; Metazoa; Arthropoda; Arachnida; Mesostigmata; Varroidae.
CCACUAUGCGACUAUUGCGUCGUGUCUAGAGCAUAAGUACGUAAAAUAGGUCCAUAUAUUCGGAUUACUUUCUCAGUCAUUCAUUGGUAAAACAAGAAGCAAUGUUUCCCUGUUUAUACGUAGUGCAUUUAAGUACCAUUCCCAUUAUAGGGUUUCUCCCUUAUAGUGAUGUGAGUAUUCUAUUUGUACUUGGAAUAGGUGGAGGAUAAUUGUCAUACAUCGCACGUUUUUAUAUACUGAAAUAAAUAAGCACCGUCUGCUUUACAUACUUUAAAUGGAUAAAUAUAUUUUUAGAUUUAAUAAGUGUGUUCUAAUGUACUGGUUAAUCUGAUGCAGGACCCGAAAGUAAAUUAUGUGACGUAACAAAUAAAUAAAUGAUGUAAAUAAAUUCUGAACAAAUAGUAAGAUUAGACUCAUACAAUUUACGAGAUCGGGGGGAGAGCUGCAGUGGCAGAAUAGUUGAUCAAAGGUGAAUCAGAUUUCGUAUUGUUUAACUUAAUCGGUACUUAUGCACCAGGCGAGAAGCAAAUCAAAACAAUCUAAAAUUAAUAGAAUAGAGCUAUUAAAGCCAAUGUCGAUUUUAAAUAGUAUUGUUUGUUUAUUGUUGUUGAGGCGUUCAGGUGCAAUUUAUUCGCUACGCGCCAUACGUUCAAACUAUUUCACGUAUCCAACACGGGAAGAGUAACUGAAAUGUAGCAAUUUCCUUUUUCGAAUUCAGUCUGCUAUGUACAGCCAAGUAGUCGAUGCAAUGGAAGGAUUUUCGACGACACGGUUCGUCCUAGUCUAUCUAGAAUCGCCGUCGCACAAACGGAACGUCAUCUUCUCAACGGUGUUCAGCCUCUAGGUGCUCUUAUUGCAUUGGUCACCGUAGUGAGAAAUUGAUCUCUCGGAGGAUCUUCGGCUCAGCCUGUCAUUUGCCUGAACUAAAUCUGCCUCUUAAUAGCGUUUUCUCAAUAUUAUUCAUAUCAAGCCUUUUAUUUUCUCCAAUCUCAUCUUUUGGGAACGGGAAGCAGUGAACACACAUCUUGGCUCCGCAUCGCUAAGACCAGCAUCGCUAUGUCGCCAUUCAUCUGCUAUAUGCGCACGUUCGCCCUCAGGAGAUAGGUCGGAUCUGCCGGAUCGACACCGGACUUUCCUUUCAUUCAAAACAGGCGAUCAGCUUUGAUCAGAAAGGUCUGAACAUCAGGCCGUGUUUCCUUUGCUUGGCAUUGCUUGUGGUCGACGCGCACCCGUGUUCGAAUCAUGGUGCAAGACGGCGAUGUCGUACUGCACCUGUUUCCUGCUUUGAUGGAGAUGCUGUACGAAGAAUGUGCCACAGAGAGUCUUUCUUUCGUGCCCCAUCGUCUUGUCAGCUGUGCCAGUAACGUUUCUUUGGUUUGACGCCAUUCGAGGGGCCGACGUGCGUACUAUCAUAGACUAGCAAUGGUUUACACUGAUCCGUCGAACUGCUAGAUGCAGACAUGCUGUAACUUGAGGGAAGCAGUAGAUGCGAUGCUACGCAACUGCGGUGCCUCGUAAAGGUCGGCUGCUGAAUUGGGAAUGAAAAACGCUGGCGGAAUAAAAUAAAAUAAGCAAGUAUGGGAUUAGACUAUAUGACCGCGAAGCGUAGCUCCAAUACGAAUGAAAUUCGAACGUAUUUCGGCUGUAUAAAGAGACCAACGAAGGAGAAUCACUUGUUCGAAAAUUGGUUCAGGGACAUUCGGAUCCUGACGAUCUCAAUGCUCAUUAUUGGCCAGUCAGAGGCUGGUAUUGUUGUCGUCGCUGCCGCCAUCGUUCUUGUUGUCAGUCCGUGCUGAUGACGGGCUGCGUCAGCAGACCAAGCGACCAAGGAAACGCAAGUAAUUGAAGGGUGAAUUGAAGGCUGAAUGGCUGUAGACACCUUUGUCAACAGCAGUCUUACACAACAUCGGCAGUAUCGAGGUGCGUUUGAUUGUACUGAGCCACUUAGUAGUCAAGCACGCAUCAACAACUACAUCGUGCAUUCAGAGGAUCAAGAUUCGCGAAGUCACUGCUGAGAUGGUGUCACAAUAGCAACUGAAUAGACCCAGACAGCCAUCGGGUCGAACGGAAGGAGACUGUCACACCAAAAGGUGAUAGCGGAUUGCAAAUGACAGUCUAAUUUCGGCCAAGAAUGGCGAUAGCCGUACUUUCGUUUUUAGGCCUGCUCCUUAGUUUGUUACUGUUCUUAGGACUAUUACCCCGAUUCUGCCCACUGGUACGGACUAGUAGCCUAAUAUCGUAGCGGCCGUCGUCACAGUUGCCAAAAUGAGGAUUCUGACGCUACCCAUCAUCCGUACCAGUAGCAUACCAUGGCGUUUAUUCCACUGUUGACUCAUUUUGAGCAUGUAGGACUUGCCCUUUACUAGGACCAGCAGCGACCCUCGUCGCUUUUGUUCGUCAGCGGUAAAGCGUUCUGUCGGUGGCACCGUAGUUGUGUUCUCGUUGUUGUUGGGGUUAUUGGCGUUGUUAGCAUGCGCUGUGCUCUGUUACAGCUAUGGCCGCUUUCGGGAGGCUUCCGUGACCACUACUCAAUCCCGUAACUUUGUCGUAUCCGUUCAAACCAGAUUUAGUCAUGCUAUUUCGUGCCUGGCAAACGAGCGCUACCAAGUAUCUGGUGUUUGGAGGAAGCCACCUGUGCGUUAAGCUUCAUUUGGCGGUGAAGGCCCGGCGAUGAACUUCACGUGUAUAGUGUAUGCCUGAAGUCCCCGAUGUUGUCAUCCUAAUGGCUGCUACUGCGUCGUUGCCGUAAAUAAGGAAAGUAAAAUUAGAGUAGAAUGACUCAUAAAACCAAAGCUUAUUAGUUCGAAACAGUAUUUUUAUGAUAUUCGUGGUUUUCUUUUUGUGGCUCAGCUCUCGUUUAAAAGCGCAGCGAAAGAAGUAAGUAGCCCGUGUUGGUAAACGAGUAAGUGAGCAAUUUUUUAGAGGUUUUUUAACAUUUCAUUGACGGAAUCAUAAAAAAAAAUGCUUGAAGUUCUUGCAGAAGACAACAUCUAGAAACUGGUUACUAAAUGUUAUUUUCUGGAAAUCUUCUGGUUAUGAAAAUUGGAAAAGAGCUGGACUCAAUAAUGAUAUCAUUAUGCUACUCUAAUCGACACAAGAUCCCUUUAAAUGUGUCCUAAUUGUAAUCCGUAAUAAUCCGAGUAAUAAAUCCGGUAAGUACACGCUAGGGAGUUUUACUCAAUAAGGAAAUUUUUCAACUUUUAGAGAACAAGAGCUCACAAAGUGCUGUUGCAAAAAACCUAAUUUAUUUACGCCUUAUUAUGGCAUAUAAAAUCCUAAAUUUUUAUUUAUUUUGUAUGAUUCUUUCCCAUAGCGACAAACAUGCCUAUCCUCGCAUCGGACACGACAAUUUUCACUUGCGGUACGUCCUUCAGGAACAGUCAUAUCCGAAAGCAUGGGGCAGUACGCAUUAACAUGGCUCAGUAUUUCUUCACUAUUACUUCUAAUGCCACGGACCCGAAUUUGACGAACCCCUCGCAUCUCGAUAUUCAUUAAUGGCGUACGGCGCUUACGUACUUUUAGGUACUUACUUCACCGUUUGUGAAGACAGCGUUCCAAAUCGUCCAUCGGCAAAGGCAUUUCGUUCGACCCAACCUACCGACUACCUCCAGCACGUCCCUCAGUCCUUCAGCUGCAAAAGAUCUUCAUAGUAAGCGCGCAGAGAAACCAGUCACAGUGGCGCUAUCUCAUCGCUCAAAACGUAAUUCAGGCCCAAUUCGCCUUAUAUGGCGCUGACCCUCCGGCGCCUUUGACGACGAGACUUUCUUGGUUCCCACGGUUACCCGGGCAAAAGAUUUAGUCAGCCAAACACACAAACAACGGAUGACUACUGCAGGUAAUGGAGGAUCCGCGGCAGCCACCUGAAGUAACUGCCGAAGUGAAACAGGCAGCGAACGAAUGCGCGAUUCGACCCCAGUUGUUGCUUUCGUCAGUGCUGCUGUUUUAUCAAACUAGCGAACAACCGCGUUAGGAAGAGAUCUUGGCUUUUAGCUGUCAUUGCCCGGUGACCAUUGACUGUCGAGCAGAAUCGAUGACAAGAGCACGUCUUAAACAAAAAACCUACGCAAACGGAGAAGCAAAGAAGAACGAAGUUAGCUCACAAUGCUAAAUCUAGUCAGGCCAUCUAACCUGAAAGGUAAAACGCAAUCCAUUAGAAAUUACAAGACAAAAAUUAAAAAUAAAUGUUUCGAGCUUUAGGUUGUGUACUUUAAUUCAGCAUUAUUAUAGACAACCGGCUUCACCCAAUGCGAAAUGCAGCAUGUCUAAACCCGACUUUGAGCCUAGAUAAUCGCCCUUAAUGGGCCUUAGUUUAAUACGUAACCACGCUGACAUUGCGCUAUCACGGAGAGGCAGAGGCGGCGAUAGACAGCCGUAGAUAACACAUAGUGUUGUAAACACUUAUAGGGAUAAAUAGAAGUUCAAUUGAUUUAUCUGGGUCUGCUGCGGCUAUCAUACACAAAUGAGGUAGAAAACAGUAACAUAAGUCAAUAAAAAUUGUGGUUUACUUAUGGAACUGCAGUUUUGAUAAACUCAAGUUCUCGCCGAGCUGAUAAUAAAUGAAGUGUUAUACUGCA